UGUAGAUUUUCCAUGCACUUUUGAGGC
Molecule: non-coding RNA, 27 nt
Filed under: Mus musculus (house mouse)
Lineage: Eukaryota; Metazoa; Chordata; Mammalia; Rodentia; Muridae
Source: RNAcentral